GCCCCACUACCAUACCAUGCGGAGGUUCUGACCUUGACCUCUGACAUGACAUCUAUGGCUCAUUAAACGUGUUGACGUGGUUAAGCUCUUUGUGUCCGUCAGUGUGUGUGUGUAUGUGUGUGAGGGAGAGAGAGAGACAGAGCGAGAGAAAGAGAAGUCUUGGAGUGGAAGUGUAGGUGGAACCAGAUUACCUUACAGUUUUUCCCCUCGAAAUCAACGGAAAUCAACGGAGUACUCUAUUUAAAAAGGUCACGAUCUUCUACUAGCACCUUCGUGAGCAACAAUACUGAGAGCUUCCAAAGGCAGGUCAACAGAAACUGAGGCAUAAGCCAUCGGAGCAACUAGAGAUAAAAUAUUUUUAUCCACAGCAAGAGAACAGAGAAUUGACAAGAGCAGCAGUUCCCUUCCACAACCAGCAGAGAUCAGCAAUGC
Molecule: long non-coding RNA, 432 nt
Organism: Oncorhynchus tshawytscha (Chinook salmon)
Lineage: Eukaryota; Metazoa; Chordata; Actinopteri; Salmoniformes; Salmonidae
Exons: 3
Source: RefSeq, a predicted model, not a curated record